This 794-nucleotide ribosomal RNA is filed under the name Vibrio sp. GA CAS7. RNAcentral describes it as "bacterial SSU rRNA". It matches the Rfam family "Bacterial small subunit ribosomal RNA", at positions 53 to 815 of the family's 1533-position model. The record is from RNAcentral. Lineage: Bacteria; Pseudomonadati; Pseudomonadota; Gammaproteobacteria; Vibrionales; Vibrionaceae.
ACAUGCAGUCGAGCGGAACGAGUUAUCUGAACCUUCGGGGAACGAUAACGGCGUCGAGCGGCGGACGGGUGAGUAAUGCCUAGGAAAUUGCCCUGAUGUGGGGGAUAACCAUUGGAAACGAUGGCUAAUACCGCAUGAUGCCUACGGGCCAAAGAGGGGGACCUUCGGGCCUCUCGCGUCAGGAUAUGCCUAGGUGGGAUUAGCUAGUUGGUGAGGUAAGGGCUCACCAAGGCGACGAUCCCUAGCUGGUCUGAGAGGAUGAUCAGCCACACUGGAACUGAGACACGGUCCAGACUCCUACGGGAGGCAGCAGUGGGGAAUAUUGCACAAUGGGCGCAAGCCUGAUGCAGCCAUGCCGCGUGUGUGAAGAAGGCCUUCGGGUUGUAAAGCACUUUCAGUCGUGAGGAAGAUGGUAGUGUUAAUAGCUCCAUCAUUUGACGUUAGCGACAGAAGAAGCACCGGCUAACUCCGUGCCAGCAGCCGCGGUAAUACGGAGGGUGCGAGCGUUAAUCGGAAUUACUGGGCGUAAAGCGCAUGCAGGGUGGUUUGUUAAGUCAGAUGUGAAAGCCCGGGGCUCAACCUCGGAAUAGCAUUUGAAACUGGCAGACUAGAGUACUGUAGAGGGGGGGUAGAGAAUUCCAGGUUGUAGGCGGUUGAAAUGCGUAGAGGUCCUGAAGGAAUACCGGUGGGCGGAAGGCGGGCCCCCUGGACAGAUACUGACACUCAGAUGCGAAAGCGGUGGGGGGAGCAAACAGGAUUAGAUACCCUGGUAGUCCACGCCGUAACGAUGUCUA